This 1447-nucleotide long non-coding RNA is filed under the name Homo sapiens (human). RNAcentral's name for it is "non-protein coding LINC01360:1". The record is from RNAcentral. Lineage: Eukaryota; Metazoa; Chordata; Mammalia; Primates; Hominidae.
CUAUGUUUUCAAGUUGAAUUGAAAGCCAAAACAUAUUUUAACUAUAUUUUAAACAAGUUGAAUUGAAAGCCAAAACAUAUUUUAACAUAUUUUAACCAUAACCAAAACAUAUUUUGACCAUAUCCCUUAUUAUUGAGGGAGGUAUUUCUUCCCUAGUGCUGUGGGGAUGACUUGGACAGAAACCACUGGACACUAUACAGAUGUAGACUGACAGUUUACUGGUCACCUGCACUAACAGCCUGAGAGAAAAGGACACUGCAUAUCACAGAGAGAUGCAUAGAUGUUACACUCAGAAAGAGAGUGAACAACUAGAAGAUGUGGAAGGCAAGCUUUUUAGUAUUAAGAGGGAACCAGUUUGGCUCUGGAGUCAAGAAUUCUCAAAACAGCUUUCUGAACCUGAAUCGCACGCAGUAAAGCUGGUGUUCUCCUGAAGCCAACAUUUAUGGUAUCACCUUGCUGAUCCAGGCAAAAUGGCAAAAGUGUAGUGAACAUAAAGCCAGGGGCUGAGAUUGUGGAUGUCCUCUGUACCAAGUUUCUUAUUAUGGUAAGGGUAGAAGUUCACCAGGUCAGUAAUGUGAUUUUGUCCAAAGAGCCAUUUCUGGAGAUCUAGCCUAAACAUUGCUCCUCCAACUCUUCCCAUAAUUUGUUAACAAUUGAAUAAUUGUUCUGUUUAAAAUAGUUUGGAUGUUUUAUGUUUUCUGCAACUUUACUGUUAUCAUAACAAAGACAUAAAUAAAGAUCUAAAUAAAGUCAGAAAAUUCCAAGGGCCAAUUUUGAAACAAACCAGGCAGAGACCCAGAUGCAGAAUCCUGCAGGCUGAGGGAUGUUAGGAAGAGUUAGCCCACCACUGCUGCGCUGAAACCAGGAUGACGCAAACUGGGCCUCAGGCCAGGGUGUAUUCCUUGGAGUAUAACUGAAGGUUUACUUGGUAAUUCUAUGUUUAACUUUUUUUGGAACUUCUGGACUAUCUUCCAAAGCAACAGUACCAUUGUACAUUUUCACCAGCCACGUAUGACAGUCACACUCUCUCCACAUUCUUGCCAAAACUUGUUAUCAUUUUUCAAAUAAAAGACAGCCUAGUGUGUAUGUAGAUCAAUAAACCAAACUCCCUGUCACCUCAGACUCUGCACCUGUUAAAGCCCUGUAAAGAGCCGACAUGUAAGGACUUAUACUGACUGGAUACAGAGAAUAUGGAGCAAAUCAAACGUAUUUAAAUAGUAAAUUAUCAUAUUGUUAUAAAUAAAAAUUUACAUUGCAUUUCCUUUUAGGCUUAGAAUAUAAACUGACACCUUGAAGAAGUGACCAUCUUGUAAUCAACACUUUAUUCUAAGGAUAACAGAGAUAAAUGAUAUAAGGAUCUCUGUUUCUUAAUGGCAUUGUUGAGCCCUAAACUUUCUACUGCUAGAUAUUUUAUCGCAUGAAAUAAAUAAGCCUUAGUUGCUUAAAA